AUCUUUGCGCUUGGGGCAAUGACGCAGCUAGUGAGGUUCUAACCGAGGCGCGUCUAUUGCUGGUUGAAAACUAUUUCCAAACCCCCUCUUCGGCCUGGGCUUGUCCUUGGCCGUCGAGAAUUUCUGGAAGGGCUUCCUUACGGUAAAGCC
RNAcentral lists this small nuclear RNA (150 nucleotides) under Olea europaea subsp. europaea. Its description in RNAcentral is "U4 spliceosomal RNA". It matches the Rfam family "U4 spliceosomal RNA". From Rfam's summary of the family: U4 small nuclear RNA (U4 snRNA) is a component of the major U2-dependent spliceosome. The structure of U4 snRNA from yeast and human has been reported. The record is from Rfam by way of RNAcentral. Lineage: Eukaryota; Viridiplantae; Streptophyta; Magnoliopsida; Lamiales; Oleaceae.